AACCUGGAGGUGGAGUCAACCCCACCUAAAUCAACAUGGUCUGAGAACGGGGAAGGAGCAGUUCUCCAAGGGCAAGGCGGAGGUUCUUGACAGAAGAGGAGAGAGACGCUGAGUAGAUGAGAACAGCCAACAUCUACCACAGAGCGGAAAACAACAAACUUGGUUCUCAUGACAAGCCCAAAAGACUCCUUGGUGGUUCUAUCUAUUUGGAGAAGCCUUUAUAUCUUCACACACCUGGGAUCUUCCAAGAAGGUUUUGGAUGAGCACGCCUCAAUUCAGUCCUAGAGACCUAUGCUGCAUUUGUUUCCUUCCCUCUUGGUCCACCUCCAGCCCUCAUUCAAUUCUAAGUCUCAUCAUGCCUUUGAAGACUGCCCUGCUAGUCUCAAACCUGUGCUUUUUCCUUUGUUCAAUUGUGACCCUGUUUAUGAUGCUACAGAAAGAACAGCUUUGCAUACUCCAGACUUGGUUCCAGGUGUCUGCACUCAUAAUUUAUGUUGCCCUUCAAUUUACCUAUAGAAUCUUGCCUUUUAAGAACUGGUUCCACAUAAAGUUUCUAAGGGGCUUUUAAAACUGUAAAGCAAUAUAAAUGAUAGAUGUUAUAAAAUCUAAGAUCAUUUGUCCAUGUUAUUCUCUACCUGUUGGUUCCUUCCUCAUUGAAAAUUGGUGUAUAGAUGGUAGAUAGAUAGAUGAUAGAUAGAUAGGUAGAUAGAUAGAUAGAUAGAUAGAUAGAUAGAUAGAUAGAUAGAUAGAUAGAUUUUUAUUUUUGGUCUAUCUCCUUUACUAAACAGUAAGCUCCAUGAAAAUAUGGAUCAUCACUGUCUUAUUCACCAUUAUAUUCUCAGCAUAUGGUAUUGUCCUGGUAUAGAAUAGAUUCUCAAUAAAUGCUUGCUAAAUGAAUGCAUUCAUGAGUGAGUGAAUGAAUGAAUAUGCGAGUGGAUGAGUGUGUGGAAAACAUGGUCUGGCUUUCCCAACCAGAUGAGAAAGCAAAGGCACCGGAGUUAGCUUCAGCUGUUGCUUCCUAGCGAUGUGACCUUAGUUUGACCUUUCUGUGUUUCAGUUUUCUCAUCCUUGAAAUGGGGAAAAUACUUUACUGAGGACACCAAAAGAUCACCUAUGUGAAUUCAAUGUUUGAUAUACUAAGCACUCAAUAAAUAUCAGCACUCUUC
Homo sapiens (human) is the source of this 1166-nucleotide long non-coding RNA. RefSeq lists it as uncharacterized. NCBI's taxonomy places the organism in Eukaryota, Metazoa, Chordata, Mammalia, Primates, Hominidae. The record is from RefSeq and is a predicted model, not a curated record. The transcript is spliced from 2 exons.